UACGUAGGGGGCAAGCGUUGUCCGGAUUUAUUGGGCGUAAAGAGCGUGUAGGCGGUUAGGUAGGUCCGUUGUGAAAACUCGAGGCUCAACCUCGAGACGCCGAUGGAAACCAUCUAACUAGAGUCCGGAAGAGGAGAGUGGAAUUCCAGGUGUAGCGGUGAAAUGCGCAGAUAUCUGGAAGAACAUCAGUGGCGAAGGCGGCCUGCUGGGCUGUUGCUGACGCUGAGGCGCGACAGCGUGGGGAGCAAACAGG
RNAcentral lists this ribosomal RNA (253 nucleotides) under uncultured bacterium. RNAcentral describes it as "partial 16S ribosomal RNA". It matches the Rfam family "Bacterial small subunit ribosomal RNA", at positions 524 to 776 of the family's 1533-position model. The record is from RNAcentral.